RNAcentral lists this ribosomal RNA (1003 nucleotides) under Myrophis vafer (Pacific worm eel). Its description in RNAcentral is "partial 16S ribosomal RNA". It matches the Rfam family "Bacterial large subunit ribosomal RNA", at positions 1283 to 2789 of the family's 2925-position model. Lineage: Eukaryota; Metazoa; Chordata; Actinopteri; Anguilliformes; Ophichthidae. The record is from RNAcentral.
UAGAAGAAAUAAUGCUAGAAUAAGUAAUAAGAGAGCACACGACUCUCUCCCAGCACAUGUGUAGGUCAGAUCGGACACACCACUGACAAGUAACGGACCCAAAAACAGAGGGCACUAACCCUAAUUAUAAAUAACCAAGAAAACCCACAAUUAAACCACAACCGUUAACCCAACACAGGAGUGCCCAAAGGAAAGACUAAAAGGAGAAGAAGGAACUCGGCAAACACAAACCCCGCCUGUUUAACAAAAACAUCGCCUCUAGCCAACAAAGGAUGUAUUAGAGGUCCCGCCUGCCCAGUGACCACGUCGUUCAACGGCCGCGGUAUUUUAACUGCGCUAAGGUAGCGUAAUCAUUUGUCUCUUAAAUGGAGACCUGUAUGAAUGGCAACACGAGGGUUUGACUGUCUCCUUCCCCCGGUCAAUGAAAUUGAUCUAUCCGUGCAGAAGCGGAUAUGCAAACAUAAGACGAGAAGACCCUAUGGAGCUUUAGGUAAAGAAUCAACCAUGUUAAGAAUACUAUUUACCCCUCAGGAAACCAAAGAUUUUUCAAACCUAAUGUGAAAAUGAUUUAUACCUUCGGUUGGGGCGACCACGGGGGACAACAAAGCCCCCACAUGGAACAGGAGACACCUCCCAAACCAAGAGCCACAGCUCUAAGCAACAGAAUAUCUGACCACAAACGAUCCGGGAACAAACUUUUUACCUACACCCGAUCAAUGGACCAAGUUACCCUAGGGAUAACAGCGCAAUCCUUUCCCAGAGCCCAUAUCGACGAAAGGGUUUACGACCUCGAUGUUGGAUCAGGACAUCCUAAUGGUGAAGCCGCUAUUAAGGGUUCGUUUGUUCAACGAUUAACAGUCCUACGUGAUCUGAGUUCAGACCGGAGUAAUCCAGGUCGGUUUCUAUCUAUGAAUCUGCUUCUUACCAGUACGAAAGGACCGUAAGAAGAGGGCCUAUACCAAAAGCAAGCCCCAUCCCCACCCAUUGAAAACAAAUAAAAAGG